CGUGGAUUAGGCAUGCAAGUCGAACGGUAUAAACCUUUCGGGGGUUUAGAGGAGUGGCGAACGGGUGAGUAACACGUAGGUAAUCUACCCUCAAAACGGGGACAACCCAGGGAAACUUGGGCUAAUACCGGAUGCGUGCAAGCAAUGUUUUGGUUGUUAAUGCUAUUCACGGAAGUGAGUAGUGUUAAUGGUUGAGAGCAUUAUUUGCAUAAAAGGUGGCAUAUGCUGCCGUUUGAGGAUGAGCCUGCGUCCUAUUAGUUAGUUGGUGAGGUAAUGGCUUACCAAGGCGAUGAUAGGUAGGCGGCCUUAACGGGUGGUCGCCCACACUGGGAUUGAGAGACGGCCCAGACUCCUACGGGAGGCAGCAGUCGAGAAUAGUCUACAAUGGACGGAAGUCUGAUAGUGCGACGCCGCGUGAACGAAGAAUCCCUUCGGGGUGUAAAGUUCUUUUAUACGUGAGCAGUGCCCUUUAUAUGAAUAGUAUAGAGGGAGGGAUUUAAGCGUAUGAAUAAGCAACGGCUAACUCCGUG
This 530-nucleotide ribosomal RNA is filed under the name uncultured bacterium. Its description in RNAcentral is "bacterial SSU rRNA". It matches the Rfam family "Bacterial small subunit ribosomal RNA", at positions 43 to 507 of the family's 1533-position model. The record is from RNAcentral.